Molecule: ribosomal RNA, 460 nt
Filed under: uncultured bacterium
Lineage: Bacteria
Description: partial 16S ribosomal RNA
Rfam family: Bacterial small subunit ribosomal RNA
Source: RNAcentral
CCUACGGGCGGCAGCAGUGAGGAAUAUUGGUCAAUGGACGAGAGUCUGAACCAGCCAAGUAGCGUGAAGGAUGACUGCCCUAUGGGUUGUAAACUUCUUUUAUAUGGGAAUAAAACGUUCCACGUGUGGGAUUUUGUAUGUACCAUAUGCAUAAGGAUCGGCAAACUCCGUGCCAGCAGCCGCGGUAAUACGGAGGAUCCGAGCGUUAUCCGGAUUUAUUGGGUUUAAGGGGAGCGUAGGUGGAUUGUUAAGUCAGUUGUGAAAGUUUGCGGCGCAACCGUAAAAUUGCAGUUGAAACUGGCAGUCUUGAGGACAGUAGAGGUGGGCGGAAUUCGUGGUGUAGCGGUGAAAUGCUUAGAUAUCACGAAGAACUCCGAUUGCGAAGGCAGUUCACUGGACUGCAACUGACACUGAGGCUCGAAAGUGUGGGUAUCAAACAGGAUUAGAUACCCUUGUAGUC